Panicum virgatum (switchgrass) is the source of this 571-nucleotide long non-coding RNA. RefSeq lists it as uncharacterized. Lineage: Eukaryota; Viridiplantae; Streptophyta; Magnoliopsida; Poales; Poaceae. The record is from RefSeq and is a predicted model, not a curated record. The transcript is spliced from 2 exons.
AGACACUAGGAAGGAACGACUUGUGUGGGUUAUAAGGGUGUGAGGUAUUUGAGGCGCCCACGGGCUGGUUUUCAGAACUUGAGAGAAUGGCUACCACCAUGUGCUGGAGCAAGAUUGUGCGUUCUUCAAGCUUCAUCGUCUUGCUGGUGGUGGCGGUGGCAUUGCCUGUGGCACCAAUAAUCGCCCAUCAAAGUGAUGAACUUAUGAUGUGCGCAAACAUGAGUGAUCCUCGCUGCUUUGUCCCGGCCCUUCCUAGCGGUCGUCAUCGUCCCCCUCAUCAGCCUCCUUGUACAUCAUGUCCAUACGCUGGUGCUUGUCCAUGGUGCCAUGUUUAGAUGAAUGUUUCAGUGGCUGAUCUGGAGAGCCAGCCAGAGUCAAUGCAGAAUAAUCAAACACAUGUUCCUAUAAAAAUAUAGCAAUAACUAUGCUUUUCCAUGAGAGCAACGAAAUUGGUUCCAUAUUGGUCUUUAAUUAAGCUUUAGCUGUGACAAAAAUGUAUUACUUUCCAACACAAUGUGAAUCAUUAUUUGAUAAAAUAAAUUUCACCAUUGUGAAACUCAUUCAAAUCCUA